GUGAUUUGCAGUGAAGGAAAAUGGAGGGCUAUAAUUCAGACAGUAUAUGAGGAAAAAUCUGAGUUGUACACAAAUUUCUAGACAUAAUUUUCAUUCUGUCAUUUUUUGGAAAACAAACUUUAUCUCUUGUGAUAAUAUGCAGCUUUGUGAAGCUGCUAUUUUUCUAUGCAAUGAAAAGACUAUUUGAGCAGCUGCAAAAAAUUAAAAAGGAAGAAUGGGUUGUGAAUUGAUUUUAGUUCAUAUGAAUUACACCAGACUUCAAGUUAAAGGUGCAAGUGGGUAUUCUUUGUCUUGGUGUUUAUAUAAUUUUAUUCAAGAGGGUGGUUAUAUUUGCUUAGGUACAUGUUAUAUUUGGCAAAGGAUCAUUCUCUUAAUUUUUCCCAUCUUACUCUACCGACAUUGUUAAUGUGUAAAAACGAACAGUACACCCACUAUAAUAAUAUAAUUUUCCUUGUGGAAAUGUACAUGUUUUAUGAAAUAUUUGACACAGCUCACUAGUCAAGUCAGUUGUGUAAUGCAGUAGGUUUGUACUGAUUCUGUAGAUAUUGGGAAGGGGGAGCUAAUUUUAAAACAAAAAUUGUGAUUAUUUUUUAUACAUUUGUCAUUCUCAAAAAAAGGUAAUAAUAAUGUACAUGACAAUGAUAUUUGUUCAAAUGUACUUGUAUGUACUUCCAGUGAAUUGAUUUGUAAAAAUAAAAUUGGUAAGGAA
Molecule: long non-coding RNA, 709 nt
Organism: Lingula anatina
Lineage: Eukaryota; Metazoa; Brachiopoda; Lingulata; Lingulida; Lingulidae
Source: RefSeq, a predicted model, not a curated record